Molecule: ribosomal RNA, 253 nt
Filed under: uncultured bacterium
Lineage: Bacteria
Description: partial 16S ribosomal RNA
Rfam family: Bacterial small subunit ribosomal RNA
Source: RNAcentral
UACGGGGGGUGCGAGCGUUGUCCGGAAUUACUGGGCGUAAAGGGUGCGUAGGCGGGUCUUUAAGUCAGGGGUGAAAUCCUGGAGCUCAACUCCAGAACUGCCUUUGAUACUGAGGAUCUUGAGUUCGGGAGAGGUGAGUGGAACUGCGAGUGUAGAGGUGAAAUUCGUAGAUAUUCGCAAGAACACCAGUGGCGAAGGCGGCUCACUGGCCCGAUACUGACGCUGAGGCACGAAAGCGUGGGGAGCAAACAGG